This 424-nucleotide ribosomal RNA is filed under the name uncultured Brochothrix sp. RNAcentral's name for it is "bacterial SSU rRNA". It matches the Rfam family "Bacterial small subunit ribosomal RNA", at positions 358 to 774 of the family's 1533-position model. Lineage: Bacteria; Bacillati; Bacillota; Bacilli; Caryophanales; Listeriaceae. The record is from RNAcentral.
GGAAUCUUCGGCAAUGGACGAAAGUCUGACCGAGCAACGCCGCGUGAGCGAAGAAGGCCUUCGGGUCGUAAAGCUCUGUUGUUAGAGAAGAACAUGGGUGAGAGUAACUGUUCACCCCUUGACGGUAUCUAACCAGAAAGCCACGGCUAACUACGUGCCAGCAGCCGCGGUAAUACGUAGGUGGCAAGCGUUGUCCGGAAUUAUUGGGCGUAAAGCGCGCGCAGGCGGUCUCUUAAGUCUGAUGUGAAAGCCCCCGGCUCAACCGGGGAGGGUCAUUGGAAACUGGGAGACUUGAGGACAGAAGAGGAGAGUGGAAUUCCAAGUGUAGCGGUGAAAUGCGUAGAUAUUUGGAGGAACACCAGUGGCGAAGGCGGCUCUCUGGUCUGUUACUGACGCUGAGGCGCGAAAGCGUGGGGAGCAAACA